Long non-coding RNA from Brassica napus (rape), 5351 nucleotides. RefSeq lists it as uncharacterized. NCBI's taxonomy places the organism in Eukaryota, Viridiplantae, Streptophyta, Magnoliopsida, Brassicales, Brassicaceae. The transcript has 4 exons. The record is from RefSeq and is a predicted model, not a curated record.
GUUUUUUAGUUUUAGUCAUAGCUUAAAACUCAUCUAAAUCAUUGGUUGCACUUAGAUUAAGUGAGUACUUGCAUUCUCAUUGCUUUGAUAUCCCUCAGAACUGGUUCGACAAUCACUAUACUACAACAUUUGUCUUAGGAGCUUGAAAACUCUUAACAUCAGGAUGCACCUGAGUUUUAUCGCUAACAACAUGUUCAAGAAGAUAGUAACAUGUUACAGACCUUUAAUUUCAGGGAGAGUUUUUUGACCAAAUCUGUGGGCAUGUAAUUGUUAUUUACUUGAACAACUGUCUCCUUCCAAGGUCCAAUCCUGACAACAUAUUGCUUAAUGUAAUUGCGAUACACAUCUGAUGUGAUCUCUGUGUAGGUCUAGAUAAUAUUUGCAUGAAAGUUGAUCAAUCACUUUAGCAAAAUUAGUUAUCGCUGACUGUAGUGCACUGUUGAGGAUGAGGAAGUUUUCUUGCAUAAUGCAUAUAAUUAAAGAUUCGUUGAAGUUGAUAAUGCUAAGCACGCCACAAAUCGUCAUCUGAUAUGAGUAUUUUUAUCCACAAAUUGACUUUGUAAAUAUAUAUUCUUUUGCAACUUGGGUUUUCCAAUUCCUCUGUCAAACAGCAGGUUUAAUGCUUCUAACCAUGGAUAUAUUUCGGGAACAGUCCCCACUUUUUAAGUUUUUGAUUAUAUGUUUUUUUGGCUCAAACCAAUGGAAAGGAAGGUGCUCUUGAGUCAAACCCUGAUUUGUGUGAUAUUACUGUUGGGACAGCUACAUGGAUACAAAAGCUGUAUUCAGAAAGAAAGGAAAGCUUUGUUUGAGCUCAAGCAAUACCUGAUCUCAAUUAGUGUUGAAUGGGCCCUCGACUCUGUUCUCCCUACUUGGACCAAUGACUCAAAGAGCGAUUGCUGCCGGUGGGAUGGCAUUAAGUGCAAUCAUACAGGCGGACGGGUUAUCGGAAUUUUCAUUUCAAAGACAAGCUUCAAAGAGAGGUCUCCUUUAAAUCUUUAUUUGCUGCAUCCUUUUGAAGAUGUUCGAAUUCUGAACUUUUCGGGGAGAUCCAACCAAUUCAGUGGUUUGUUUGGGGCUUUUCACCUGUUUUUUUCCAGUGUGUUAGUUUAUCCUUGUGUUCUCUGUUUGGAAACAUUUUUCCCUGCAUUGGAAAUUAAAAUUCUGGAAGGGCUAUAUCUUAUUUAUUUGUUCUAGUUCUUAGAAGUUAACGCCGUUUAAAACUAAGUAAAUUAGAUUUUCCCCAUGCAUCAGAAGGACAUAGUACCUUUUCUGUAUUAACCAAUCUGUUGAUGUGCAGUAUCUUCCAAAAGUAGAAAUAUUUUUACACUCUUAAUUCCACUUGUAUAUACUGAGUAAACUAAAAAGUAGAGUACUUCUGUACAUGUUGUUAACAAGACUCUUGUUUGCAGGUUAUAACAGCCUUAGAAGAUUAAGAAAGUUAGAGAUUCUGGAUCUAUCCUCAAAUAGUUUCAACAGUAGCAUAUUUCCCUUUCUCAACGCUGCUACAUCUCUUACAACCCUUGUUAUUCAGAAUAACUUCCAUGAAUGGCUCUUUGCCUUUUAAAGAACUGAAAGACUUGACAAACUUGGAACUGCUUGAUCUGAGUGAAAAUAUGUUUACUGGUCCCAUGCAAGGUAGCAGCUAUAUCAAUUUUCUUCAAAGUAGAAGUUUAACAGAUUUAACUCCGUUCAAAAUUGUGAAUUGGUUCAAGCCAACUCAAAAAUCAUCUUAUCCAUAUUAAUAUAAAAGGUGUCUUGGUUUGCGUCUCUUUUUCUACUGGUAGAGUGUGCUCACAUGAAAAAACUGAAAGCUCUGGAUCUAAGUUUCAAUGAUUUUUCUAGCUCAAUGGAAUUGCAAGGCAAGCAUGUUCCCUUCUAACCUUUUUUUUUAUUAGGGAUGGAGAUGAAUAUCUUAUUUACUUUCAUAUUGUAAGGUAAAAACUUGUGGCCUUUACUUUUUUUAGAACUAAAGAAUCUGACUAACUUGGAAGUCCUUGGUCUUGCAUGGAAUUAUUUAGGCGAACCAAUACCAAUAGAAGGUGAUAUGUGUUUGAUUUACCUAUGUGAGCAACAUAGAAACUACUCUGGUUACUCAUCAUAUAUAUUGUUGUUUUCUGAACCUUUUUUGCAGUUUUUUGUGAAAUGAAGAAUCUGCGAGAACUUGAUCUUAGUGGGAACAAUUUUGUAGGUCAGCUUCCUCCAUGUUUAGGUAGCUUGAACAAGCUACGGUUUCUUGACCUCUCAUCAAACCUAUUAAGUGGAAAUCUACCAUCUAGUUUCAGUAGCCUCCAGUCUCUCGAAUAUCUAUCGUUAGCAGAUAAUAACUGCACAGGCUUAUUUUCGUUCAGUCCACUUGCUAAUCUAACAAAGCUCAAGGUGUUCAAACUUUCUCGUACUUCUGUUCUUCGAUUGUUUUUGUCGUCGAGCAUGGAUCCAUCAUGUCGAUGCUUUCAUCGCCUCAGCAAAAAGUCUUUUUUCUUAAAAUCACGACAACUCAGUGCUUUUCUUAUUCAAGUUUGUUGCUUGAAUACAUUGUGUUCCUGUAAGUGUAUGUUGGGAUUUUGAUUAAUAUGUAUGGAAGUCUUUUUUUCUUAAAAUUAAUCAUCUGACUAGUUAAAACUAGCGCUAAGUAAACGAUUCGUGGCUAACGCUGGAAGUUUUCAGCAGAUCAAGAAAUAGUAUUUUCUCCAUCUUAUUUUCCUUAGCUUAAUUCUUUCAAAUAUAAGUUAUUGUCUAUCUAUUUAUAGAGAGUUUACCUUUCGUCUUUGUUAUCUGUGCACAAAUCUUCGUUGAAGUCGAUGUAUAAUUAUGUUUUUCAAACAAAAAAAGCUGAUGAAUAAUGAUGCGCACGUCACCACUUUGUCAUAUAAUAUGAGUAUUUUUCCUCCAGGGAAAAUUAACUUAUAAGUAAAUGUUAUAAAAUCAUGCAACUUGAUUUAUCCAGUCCCUCUUUGUCAAACAAAACAUUGGAGACAUUUGGAUAUUUACCUUACAUACAAUCUCUUAAUCUGUUUUUCGUUUUUUGCUUAAACCAAUGAAAGGGAAUGUGUUCGUGGGACAAUACUUAAUAUGUGUGAUGUUACUGUUGGGGCUACUACAUGGAUGCAAAAGCUGUAUUGAGAAAGAAAGAAAGGCACUCUUGGAGCUCAAGAAAUACAUACUUUUGAGGGCUGAAGAAGGAUCCGACUUUAUUCUGAAUACUUGGACUAAUGACACAAAGAGCAAUUGCUGCCUGUGGGAGGGCAUUGAGUGUAAUCAAAUAAGUCUGCGGAUUAUAAAGAUAUCCACCGGUAAAUCUUCCGUGGUAGAGGAUUCUGUCCUAGAUCUUUCUUUGCUGAAUCCCUUUGAAGAAGUUCGUAGUCUGGACUUAUCCGGGGAUGGAGCUAUCGGAUUCAGUGGCUUGUUCGAUGAUCUGGAAGGUAUACCAUGUUUCUCCAAUGUUAGAUUUAUUUUAUGGUCGCCAUUAGGAGUUAGUUCUCCUGUUUUUUUUUUAAGAAUCUAGAUAGCAGAUGGGCUACUUCUAGUUCUUGAAAGUUAGUAGGGUUCAAAGCUAUUGCGGUUAGAUUUUUUUGUUUGGAACUCUUUGUGCAUUGACCUGCUUUGUUAACAAGAUUAUUGUUCUGCAGGUUAUAAAAGCCGAAGCAGAUUACAAAAUCUAGAAUUUCUGGAUUUCUCUGCAAAUACAUUCAACAACAGCAUCUUUCCCUUUCUUAAUGCCGCUACGUCAGUUAAAACUUUGAUUCUUCAGUUCAACGUAAUGUAUGGUCCACUUCCUCUUAAAGAACUUAUAAACUUGACGAGCUUGGAAACGCUAAAUCUAAGUGAAAACAAUUUUAACAGCUGCUUCAUACCAGUAGAAGAGUCUCAUCACUUGAAAGAGCUGAAAGCACUGGAUAUAAGUGAUAACGGAUUCUCUGACCCUGUGGAAGUUCAAGGCAAGUUUGCUUAGUUUUUAUUCAGAUUUUAAAUUAAGAACCUAGGUGAAUUGAAGUCUAUUUUUUUCUUCUAUUUUUUAAUUGGCAAUCACAGGACUCUGUAACUUGAAAAAUCUACAAGAGCUAGAUAUCAGCCAUAAUGAACUUGCGGGCCAGUUUCCUUUAUGUAUAGCUAGCUUAACUGGACUUAGAGUUCUUGAUCUCUCAUCAAAUCAACUCUCUGGUGAGGUACCACCUGCUCUUAGUAACCUUGAAUCUCUCGAGUAUUUAUCCCUGGUUGAUAACAACUUCGAAGGCUUCUUCUCACUUGCUUCGCUCGCUAACAAUACAAAGCUUAAAGUGGUUACACUUAGCUCAAAAUCCAAUUCACUGCAAGUAGACAUGGUAACUUCUUGGAAACCAAAAUUCCAGCUGAGUGUUAUCUCACUACGGUCGUGCAACUUGAAGGAGGUUCCUGGAUUUCUACUGUACCAGAAAGAAUUGCGCCAAGUUGAUCUUUCCAACAAUAUAAUUUCCGGAAUGUUUCCUUCUUGGCUGUUGGAGAACAAUACCAAACUUGAGGUUUUGCUUCUGAAAAAUAAUUCAUUUAGCAGCUUUGGGCUACCGAAAGCUGCUCACAAAAUGUUGUUCUUGGAUGUGUCAGUUAAUGAGUUCAACCAACUCUUUCCUGAGAACAUUGGAUGGAUUCUUCCUAACCUACGACAUAUGAAUCUAUCAGAGAACAAUUUUCAAGGAAAUCUUCCAUCUUCUCUGGGUAACAUGGAAAGUAUGCAUUUUCUUGAUGUAUCUCACAACAGUUUCAACGGGAAGCUAUGAUAUUCCGUGUUUUUAACGGUUUUAAACUUGUUUUGAGGCAAUUAAAUGGUCGGUUUUAAUUAAUGUUUUGGUCUAUUUGAUGCGUUUUGGUGUUCUUAAGUGUAAUAUGCAGGUUACUAGAUAGCUUGCAAGAAAAGAACGCAUUCGAGAUUUAUUCAGAAGCAAGAUGGACCGAACAAUGGACCGAAUGAGAAGUAUUGAUCGCACAUGACAUAGAUCGACCGAUCCAUUUUCUGUAGAUCGACCGAUCCAGAGCUAAGAAGAAAAGCCGUGAAUUGUAGCGACAUGCGUAGCGACCAGAACUUGUCGCUACGGUUUCAUGCACUAGAUCGACCGAUCCUACCACUGAGGAUCGACCGAUCUCACACUCUACGGGCUCCACACGCACCAAUGAGCUUUUCACUCCUUUUUACCCACUCCCUUCAAUAAUGGACGAGGAGAGAGGACUUUUGGGACUCAAAAAAAAGAUUGGAGACGACCAAGAAGGAGAUUUACAAGUUCUUGAGAGAGAUUUGAGAGUUUUGUAACUUGUUUUGUGUGAUUUGUGAAGAUUUGUAAAGGAGUUCAUCUCAAAACCAUUUGGAGAAGAUCUUCUGAACC